CUCUCUUUGCCCUCUACUUCGCAGGCACCACAAGGACUUACUUUUGAAAAAACACUAGUUUCCCAGAAUGAAUCAGUAGAAAAUGUUAAAGUUCCUGUUCGCAACUAUGAAAGAAUUGUGGGAAAACCUAAUAGAAAUAGAGAUUCUACAUUAACUGAACGUGAGAAGAUCCUGCUGAAUCAUUUGACUCAAACUAAAUUAAGCUUAAAGCGUUUGGCAGUCAAAA
This is a long non-coding RNA of Melitaea cinxia (Glanville fritillary), 226 nucleotides long. RefSeq lists it as uncharacterized. The transcript is spliced from 3 exons. NCBI's taxonomy places the organism in Eukaryota, Metazoa, Arthropoda, Insecta, Lepidoptera, Nymphalidae. The record is from RefSeq and is a predicted model, not a curated record.